This 465-nucleotide ribosomal RNA is filed under the name uncultured bacterium. Its description in RNAcentral is "partial 16S ribosomal RNA". It matches the Rfam family "Bacterial small subunit ribosomal RNA", at positions 28 to 507 of the family's 1533-position model. The record is from RNAcentral.
GAUGAACGCUGGCGGCGUGCUUAACACAUGCAAGUCGAACGGAAAGGCUCCUGCUUGCAGGGGUACUCGAGUGGCGAACGGGUGAGUAACACGUGGGUGAUCUGCCCUGCACUUCGGGCUAAGCCUGGGAAACUGGGUCUAAUACCGGAUAGGACGAUGGUUUGGAUGCCAUUGUGGAAAGUUUUUCGGUGUGGGAUGAGCUCGCGGCCUAUCAGCUUGUUGGUGGGGUAAUGGCCUACCAAGGCGUCGACGGGUAGCCGGCCUGAGAGGGUGUACGGCCACAUUGGGACUGAGAUACGGCCCAGACUCCUACGGGAGGCAGCAGUGGGGAAUAUUGCACAAUGGGCGCAAGCCUGAUGCAGCGACGCCGCGUGGGGGAUGACGGCCUUCGGGUUGUAAACUCCUUUCGCUAGGGACGAAGCGCAAGUGACGGUACCUGGAGAAGAAGCACCGGCUAACUACGUG